This 47-nucleotide non-coding RNA is filed under the name Saccharothrix sp. Its description in RNAcentral is "Guanidine-II sequence". It matches the Rfam family "Guanidine-II riboswitch aptamer (mini-ykkC)". Rfam says of the family: Simpler in structure and has fewer highly conserved nucleotide positions than the ykkC-yxkD leader. Despite this each of its two stem-loop structures directly bind free guanidine. The record is from RNAcentral. Lineage: Bacteria; Bacillati; Actinomycetota; Actinomycetes; Pseudonocardiales; Pseudonocardiaceae.
GCGCGUGGACGACCUCGUGGUGGACUACGAGGACGGGGACGACCCCG